UACGGCUACUCAUUUCGGUUU
RNAcentral lists this non-coding RNA (21 nucleotides) under Caenorhabditis elegans. Lineage: Eukaryota; Metazoa; Nematoda; Chromadorea; Rhabditida; Rhabditidae. The record is from RNAcentral.